CGGCGAGUGAAGCGGCAAUAGCUCAAAUUUGAAAGCUGGCCCCUUCGGGGUCCGCGUUGUAAUUUGUAGAGGAUGAUUCGGCGAGGGCUCCCGUCUAAGUCCCUUGGAACAGGGCGUCAUAGAGGGUGAGAAUCCCGUAUGUGAUGGGCUGCCUUAGCCAUGUGAAUCUCCUUCGACGAGUCGAGUUGUUUGGGAAUGCAGCUCUAAAUGGGAGGUAAAUUUCUUCUAAAGCUAAAUACCGGCCAGAGACCGAUAGCGCACAAGUAGAGUGAUCGAAAGAUGAAAAGCACUUUGGAAAGAGAGUUAAAAAGUACGUGAAAUUGUUGAAAGGGAAGCGCUUGCAGCCAGACUUGUCCGCAGUUGCUCAGCUUGUCUCCUGACAGGCGUACUCUUCUGCGGCCAGGCCAGCAUCAGUUCGGGCGGUCGGAUAAAGACCUGGGGAAUGUAGCUCCUCUCGGGGAGUGUUAUAGCCCUGGGUGCAAUGCGGCCAGCCUGGACUGAGGAUCUCGCUUCGGCUAGGAUGCUGGCGUAAUGGCUGUAAGCGGCCCGUCUUGAAACACGGACCAAGGAGUCUAACAUCUAUGCGAGUGUUUGGGUGUCAAACCCAUGCGCGUAAUGAAAGUGAACGGAGGUGGGAACCCUCACGGGUGCACCAUCGACCGAUCCUGAUGUCUUCGGAUGGAUUUGAGUAAGAGCAUAGCUGUUGGGACCCGAAAGAUGGUGAACUAUGCCUGAAUAGGGUGAAGCCAGAGGAAACUCUGGUGGAGGCUCGCAGCGGUUCUGACGUGCAAAUCGAUCGUCAAAUUUGGGUAUA
Molecule: ribosomal RNA, 814 nt
Filed under: Neofusicoccum parvum
Lineage: Eukaryota; Fungi; Ascomycota; Dothideomycetes; Botryosphaeriales; Botryosphaeriaceae
Description: partial large subunit ribosomal RNA
Rfam family: Eukaryotic large subunit ribosomal RNA
Source: RNAcentral